Molecule: ribosomal RNA, 748 nt
Filed under: uncultured bacterium
Lineage: Bacteria
Description: bacterial SSU rRNA
Rfam family: Bacterial small subunit ribosomal RNA
Source: RNAcentral
AGAGUUUGAUCCUGGCUCAGAGCGAACGCUGGCGGCAUGCUUAAUACAUGCAAGUCGCACGGCCGGGGGUAACUCCGGCAGUGGCGGACGGGUGAGUAACGCGUAGGAAUCUAUCCACGGGUGGGGGAUAACGCCGGGAAACUGGUGCUAAUACCGCAUGAUACCUGAGGGUCAAAGGCGCAAGUCGCCUGUGGAGGAGCCUGCGUCCGAUUAGCUUGUUGGUGGGGUAAUGGCCUACCAAGGCGAUGAUCGGUAGCUGGUCUGAGAGGAUGAUCAGCCACACUGGGACUGAGACACGGCCCAGACUCCUACGGGAGGCAGCAGUAGGGAAUAUUGGACAAUGGGCGAAAGCCUGAUCCAGCAAUGCCGCGUGGAUGAAGAAGGUCUUCGGAUUGUAAAGUCCUUUCGGCGGGGACGAUGAUGACGGUACCCGCAGAAGAAGCCCCGGCUAACUUCGUGCCAGCAGCCGCGGUAAUACGAAGGGGGCUAGCGUUGCUCGGAAUGACUGGGCGUAAAGGGCGCGUAGGCGGUUUGGACAGUCAGGCGUGAAAUUCCUGGGCUUAACCCGGGGGCUGCGCUUGAUACAUCCAGGCUUGAGUGGGGAAGAGGGUCGUGGAAUUCCCAGUGUAGAGGUGAAAUUCGUAGAUAUUGGGAAGAACACCGGUGGCGAAGGCGGCGCUCUGGACCGAGACUGACGCUGAGGCGCGAAGGCGUGGGGAGCAAACAGGAUUAGAUACCCUAGUAGUCC